Long non-coding RNA from Felis catus (domestic cat), 4460 nucleotides. RefSeq lists it as uncharacterized. The transcript has 4 exons. NCBI's taxonomy places the organism in Eukaryota, Metazoa, Chordata, Mammalia, Carnivora, Felidae. The record is from RefSeq and is a predicted model, not a curated record.
UACAUGCUGAUUGCCUAUCCUGGGUCAUGUGUGAUCCCUGGACCGAUCACCAUGGCCAGGUAGGUAGUGUAUUCUGACUAGCUCUACCGGAUUCUAUGUCCAUCCCUGAAAUAAUCACCAUGGCCAGGUAGGUAGUGUAUUCUGAUUGGGUAUCCUGGUUCAUGUGCCUAUCCCUAAAAUAAUCACCAUGGCCAAGUAUAUAGUGUAUUCUGACUAGAUAACUGGGGUCAUGUGUCCAUCCCUGAACCAAUCACCAUGGCCAGGAAGGUGGUGAAUUCUGACUGGCUCUCCUGUGUCAUGGGCCCAUCCCCGAAAUAAUCACCAUAGCCAGGUAGGUAGUGAAUUCUGAUUGGGUAUCCUGGGUUAUGUGUCCAUCCCCGAACUAAUUACGAUGGCCCAGGAGGUAGGGUAUUCUGAUGGGCUAUCUUAGGUCAUGUGCCUAUCCCUGAAUCACUCUCCAUGGCUGGGUAGGCAGUGUCUUCUGCUUGGCUUUCCUCUAUCAUGUGGCUACUUCUAGACCAAUCACCAUGUCCAGAUAGGUACUGUAUUCUGUUUGGCUAUCCUGGGUAAUGUGGCUAUCCCUGGACCACUCAUAAUGGCUAAGUAGGUGGUAAAUUCUGGGUAAUGGCUAUCCCGGGUCAUGUGUCCAUCGCUGAACUAAUCAGCAUGGCCCAGGAGGUAGUGUACUAUGAUUGGCUAUCUUGGGUCAUGUGACUAUCCCUGGACCAAAAAUCAUGGACAGGUAGGUAGUGUUCUGAUUGGCUGUCCUGGGUCAUGUGCCCAUCCCCGGAGCAAUCACUGAUGCAAGGUAGCUAUUGUAUUCUGAUUGACUCUCCUGGAUGAUAUGCCUAUUCACGAACCAGGGACCAUGCCCAGUCAGGUGGUAUAUUCUGACUUACUACCCUGGAUCAUGUGUCCAAAACUGAAAUGAUCACCACUGCCAGGUGGGUAGUGUAUUCUAAUUGACUCUCCUGAGUCUUAUAUCAAUCCCUGGACCAAUCACUGUGGCCAGGUAGGUAGUAUAUUCUGACUGGCUAUCAUGGGUCAUGUGUCCAUUCCUGACCACAUCGCCAUUGCAGGUAGGUAGUGUAUUCUGAUUGCCUCCCCUGGAUCAAGUGGCUAGCCCUGGACUAAUCAUGAUGGCUACGUAGUCGGUGAAUUCUGAUUCACUAUCCUGGAUCAUGUGACUACACUUGGAUGAAUCACCAUGGCAAGGUCAUGUGCCUAUCCCUGGACUCAUCACCAUGGCCCCUACUUGGUGAAUUUGAUUGGCUAUCCUGGAUCAUGUGACUACCCUUGGACCAAUCACCGUGGCAAGGUCAUGUGCCUAUCCCUGGACUAAUCACCAUGGCCACCUAGUUCAUGAAUUCUGAUUGGCUGUCCUGGAUCAUAUGACUCCCCUUUGACCAAUCACUAUGACAAGGUAGGAAGUGUAUUCUGAUUGGCUCCUCUGGGACAUGACCAUGGGCCUAGCCCUGACCCAAUCACCAGAGCCAGGUAGCUAGUGUAUUCUGAUAGCUCUCCUGGGUCAUAUGGCUAGCCUUGGACUAGUCACUUUGGUUAGGUAGGCAGUGUAUUCUGAUUGGAUGUCCUGUCAUGUGCCUAACCCUAGACCAAUCACCAGGGGCAGGAGGUAGUGGAUUCUGAUUGACCUUCAUAGGUCAUGUGCCUAACCCUGGACUAAUUACCAUGGCCACAUAGUUGGUGAGUUCUCAUCGGCUAUCCAGGAUCAUGUGACUACCCUGGGACCAAUCACCAUGGUAAGGUAGGUAGUAUAUUCCUUUUGGCUCUCCUGGGUCAUGUGCCUACCCCUGAACCAAUCAGCAUGGCCAGGUAUGUAGUGUGUUCUGGUGGCUCUUCUGGGUCCUAUGGCUAGCCCUAGCCUAUCCCCUCAGCCACAUUGUAGUGUAUUCUGAUUGGGUGUCUUGGGCCAUUUGGCUAGCCCUGGACCAAGCACCAUGUCCAGGAGGUAGUGUAUUCUGACUGGCUCUCAUAGGUCAUGUGCCUAUCACUGGACUCAUCACCAUGGCCCCUACUUGGUGAAUUCGAUUGAAUGUCCUGAAUCAUGUGAUUACCAUCAGACCAAUCACCAAGGUAAGGUACGUAGUGUAUUCCUUUUGGCUCGCUGGGGUCAGGUGCCUAUCCCUGGACCAAUCAUCAGGGCCAGGUAGGUAGUGUAUUCUGAUUGGUUGUCCUGGGUCAUGUGGCUAGCACUGGACCCAUCACCCUGGCCAGGAGGUAGUGUAUGGUAUUGGCUCUCAUAGGUUAUGUCCCUAUCCCUAGACCUAUCACCAUGGCCACUAGUUGGUGAAUUCUGAUUGGCUAUCCUGGAUCAUGUGACUACCUUCAACCAAUCACCAUGGUAAGUUAGCUAGUAUAAUCUGAUUGGCUCUGCUGGGUCAUGUGCCUAGCCCUGGACCAAUCACCAGGUCCAAGAAAGUACUGUAUUUUGAUUGGCUCUCUUGGGUGAUGUUGCUUGCCCUGGGCCAGUCACCUCGGCCACAAAGGUAGUGUAUUGUCACUGGCUCUUAUGGGUCUUGGGGCUAGGCUUGGACCAAUCACCUUGGCCAGGUAGGUAGUGUAUUCAGAUUGGUAUCCUGGGUCAUAACCUAUCUCUGGACCAAUCACCAUAGCCAGGAGGUAGUGUAUUCUGAUUGGAUCACAUAGAUCCUAUCCUAUCCCUGGACUAAUCACCAUGGCCAUGUAGUUGGUGAAUUCUGAUUGGUUAUACUGGAUCAUGUGAAUCCCCUUGGACCAAUAACCAUAGCAAGGUAGGAAGUGUAUUCAGAUUGGCUCCCAUGGGUCAUGUGCCUAGCCCUGGACCAAUCACCAGCACCAGGUAGGUAGUGUAUUCUGAUUGGAAAUUCUGGGUCAUGUGGCUAGCCCUGGACAAAUCACUGAGGCCAGGAGGUACUGUAUUAUGAUUGGCCCUCAUAGGUCAUGUGCCUACACUGGACUGGUCACCAUGGCCACAUAGUUGGUGAAUUCUGAUUAGCUAUCCUGGAUCAUGUGACUACCCUUGGACCAAUCACUGUGGCAAGGUAGGUAGUGUAUACUGAUUGGUGCUCUUGGGUGAUGUUGCUAGCCCUGGACCAAUCACCUCCGGCAUGAAGAUAGUAUAUUCUGAUUGACUCUCUUGGGUCUUGUGGCUAGGCCUGGACAAAUCACCUCAGUCAGGUAGGCAGUUUAUUCUGAUUGCAUACCUUGGGUCAUACCCUAUCCCUGGACCAAUAACCAUAGCCAGGAGGUAGUGUAUUCUGUUUGGCUCCCAUAGGUCAUGUGCUUAUCCCUGGAGGAAUCACCAUGGCCACCGAGUUGGUGAAAUCUGUUUCCCUAUCCUGGAUCAUGUGACUCCCCUUGGACCAAUCAUCAUGGCAAGGUAGGAAGUGUAUUCUGAUUGGUGCCUCUGGGUCAUGUGACUAGCCCUGGACCAAUCACCAGCAACAGGUAGGUAGUGUAUUCUGACGGGCUUUCUUGGGUCAUGUGCUAGCCCUGGCCCAGUCAGUUCUGCUAGGUAGGGAGUGUAUUGUGGUUGGAUAUCCUGGGUCAUAUGCCUACCCCUGGACCAAUCACCAUAGCCAGGAGGUAGUGAAUUCUGAUUUGCACUCACAGGUCAUGUGCCUAUCCCUGGAGUAAUCACCAUGGCCACUUAGUUGGUGAAUUCUUAUUGGCUAAUCUGGAUCAUGUGUCCACCAUUGGACCAAUCACCAUGGCAAGGGAGGAAGUGUAUUCUGAUUGGCUCCCCAGGGUCAUGUGCUUAGCUGUGAACCAAUCGCCAGGGCCAGGUAGCUAGUGUAUUCUGAUUGGCUCUCUUGGGUCAUGUGGCUAGCCCUGGACCAGUCACUUUGGCUAGGUAGGCAGUGGAUUCUCAUUGGAUGUCCUGGGUCAUGUGGAUAGCCUUGGACCAAUGACCAGGGGCAGGAGGUAGUGGAUGCUGAUUGGCCCUCCUAGGUCACGUGCCUCUCCCUGGACUAAUCACCAUGGCUACAUAGUUGCUGAAUUCUGAUUGGCUAUCCUGGAUCAUGUGACUACCCUUGGACCAUUCACCAUGGCUAGGUAGGUAGUGUAUUCCUUUUGGCUCUCCUGGGUCAUGUGCCUAUUCCUGGACUAAUCACCAUGGCAAGGUAUGUAGUGCAUUCUGGUUGGCUCUCCUGGGUCAUGUGGCUAGCCCUAGACCUAUCACCUUGCCCACAUAGGUAGUGUAUUCUAUUGGCUGUCUUGGGUCAUAUGGCUAGUCCUGGACCCAUCACCUGACCAUGUAGGUAGUGUAUUCUGAUUGGAUAUCCUUGGUCAUUUGGCUAGCCCUGGACGAAUCACUGUGGCCAUGUAAUUGGUGAAUUCUCAUUGGCUAUCCUGGAACAUGUGACUACCCUUGGACCAAUCACCAUGGCAAGAGACAGUGUGAGCAGGGGAGAGGCAGAGAGAGAGAGGAAGACACAUUAUCCGAAGCAGGCUCCAGG